RNAcentral lists this ribosomal RNA (1386 nucleotides) under uncultured marine bacterium. RNAcentral's name for it is "bacterial SSU rRNA". It matches the Rfam family "Bacterial small subunit ribosomal RNA". The record is from RNAcentral.
GAGUUUGAUCCUGGCUCAGGAUGAACGCUAGCGGCAGGCUUAACACAUGCAAGUCGAGGGGUAACGGGGAAGCUUGCUUCCGCCGACGACCGGCGCACGGGUGCGUAACGCGUAUACAAUCUACCUUGUACUGGGGUAUAGCCUUUAGAAAUGAAGAUUAAUCCCCCAUAGUCUCUUAGAGUGGCAUCACUUCUAGAGUAAAGGUUACGGUAUAAGAUGAGUAUGCGUUCUAUUAGUUUGUUGGUGUGGUAACGGCACACCAAGACUACGAUAGAUAGGGGCCCUGAGAGGGGGAUCCCCCACACUGGUACUGAGACACGGACCAGACUCCUACGGGAGGCAGCAGUGAGGAAUAUUGGACAAAGGAGGCAACUCUGAUCCAGCCAUGCCGCGUGCAGGAAGACUGCCCUAUGGGUUGUAAACUGCUUUUAUACAGGAAGAAACACCUCUACGUGUAGAGGCUUGACGGUACUGUAAGAAUAAGGAUCGGCUAACUCCGUGCCAGCAGCCGCGGUAAUACGGAGGAUCCAAGCGUUAUCCGGAAUCAUUGGGUUUAAAGGGUCCGUAGGUGGAUAAUUAAGUCAGAGGUGAAAUCUUGCAGCUCAACUGUAAAAUUGCCUUUGAAACUGGUUAUCUUGAGUUAUUAUGAAGUAGUUAGAAUAUGUAGUGUAGCGGUGAAAUGCAUAGAUAUUACAUAGAAUACCAAUUGCGAAGGCAGAUUACUAAUAAUCAACUGACACUGAUGGACGAAAGCGUGGGUAGCGAACAGGAUUAGAUACCCUGGUAGUCCACGCCGUAAACGAUGGUUACUAGCUGUUUGGACUUCGGUCUGAGUGGCUAAGCGAAAGUGAUAAGUAACCCACCUGGGGAGUACGUUCGCAAGAAUGAAACUCAAAGGAAUUGACGGGGGCCCGCACAAGCGGUGGAGCAUGUGGUUUAAUUNGAUGAUACGCGAGGAACCUUACCAGGGCUUAAAUGUAAGUUGCAUUAGUUAGAGAUAGCUAUUUCUUCGGACCACUUACAAGGUGCUGCAUGGUUGUCGUCAGCUCGUGCCGUGAGGUGUCAGGUUAAGUCCUAUAACGAGCGCAACCCCUGUUGUUAGUUGCCAGCGAGUCAUGUCGGGAACUCUAACAAGACUGCCAGUGCAAACUGUGAGGAAGGUGGGGAUGACGUCAAAUCAUCACGGCCCUUACGUCCUGGGCUACACACGUGCUACAAUGGUAGGUACAGAGAGCAGCCACUGCGCGAGCAGGAGCGAAUCUAUAAAACCUAUCACAGUUCGGAUCGGAGUCUGCAACUCGACUCCGUGAAGCUGGAAUCGCUAGUAAUCGGAUAUCAGCCAUGAUCCGGUGAAUACGUUCCCGGGCCUUGCACACACCGCCCGUC